UCUAACUCACCAUCAUCAUCAAAAUUUGACUCAUCUUGAUCAUAGGACUGCUGCUGAUCAUUACUCGGCAUUGCUAUAAUGGUGGUGCUUUCACUUUCUUUAAAGAGAUGCUAAUUGCUUUCUCAUCACAGGGUCUGUGGUGACCUUGACUUUCUUCUUCUCUGCGCUACGGCAGGACAUGACAGACUGGUAUUUUUGACUGGGUAGGGUUUAUUAAUGGAGGAUUUUCAGACAAAGUUUGUGGCUUCCUCGUUGCUAAUUUCCCAAAUGGGUUUCACACUGUAAUAAAAAACCCAGAAAGGAUGAGGAGAAAAUAUUGAGUUUCGAGUCGUCAGUUACCUCCAUCGAUGGCGGUAAUUAGGAACAGAAUAUGCUAAUCACUGUGCAGAUUUCUAUUAUCGUUCAUCGUGAUUCCCAAGCAAUUUCCUCAGAAUCUGAAAUCGUGUGACUUUAGUGGAGAGAAAGAGAGGGUGUCAUUGAAAUGCAGAGAAAUAAAG
Carica papaya (papaya) is the source of this 497-nucleotide non-coding RNA. The record is from RefSeq and is a predicted model, not a curated record. Lineage: Eukaryota; Viridiplantae; Streptophyta; Magnoliopsida; Brassicales; Caricaceae.